CAGCAGCCGCGGUAAUACGAAGGGUGCAAGCGUUACUCGGAAUUACUGGGCGUAAAGCGUGCGUAGGUGGUUGUUUAAGUCUGCUGUGAAAGCCCUGGGCUCAACCUGGGAAUUGCAGUGGAUACUGGGUCACUAGAGUGUGGUAGAGGAUAGUGGAAUUUCCGGUGUAGCAGUGAAAUGCGUAGAGAUCGGAAGGAACAUCUGUGGCGAAGGCGACUAUCUGGGCCAACACUGACACUGAGGCACGAAAGCGUGGGGAGCAAACAGGAUUAGAGACCCCCGUAGUCCCUGUCUCUUAUAC
Molecule: ribosomal RNA, 301 nt
Filed under: uncultured bacterium
Lineage: Bacteria
Description: partial 16S ribosomal RNA
Rfam family: Bacterial small subunit ribosomal RNA
Source: RNAcentral